GACGAACGCUGGCGGCGUGCUUAACACAUGCAAGUCGAACGAUGAAGCCUUAGCUUGCUUUGGUGGAUUAGUGGCGAACGGGUGAGUAACAUGUGAGUAACGUUCCCAGGACUCUGGAAUAACCGCGGGAAACCGUGGCUAAUACCUGAUAGGUGCCGAGGCCGCAUGGUCUUCGGUUGGAAAGUUUUUGCGGUUUUGGAUCGGCUCAGGGCCUAUCAGCUUGGUGGUGGGGGAAUGGCCUACCAAGGCGACGACGGGUAGCGGGCCUGAGAGGGCGACCGGCCACACUGGGACUGAGACACGGCCCAGACUCCAACGGGAGACAACAGUGGGGAAUAUUGCACAAUGGGCGCACGCCUGAUGCAGCAACGCCGCGUGGGGGAUGACGGCCUUCGGGUUGUAAACCUCUUUUAGUAGGGAAGAAGCGCAAGUGACGGUACCUGCAGAAAAAGCACCGGCUAACUACGUG
This 469-nucleotide ribosomal RNA is filed under the name uncultured bacterium. RNAcentral's name for it is "partial 16S ribosomal RNA". It matches the Rfam family "Bacterial small subunit ribosomal RNA", at positions 28 to 507 of the family's 1533-position model. The record is from RNAcentral.